This 253-nucleotide ribosomal RNA is filed under the name uncultured microorganism. RNAcentral describes it as "partial 16S ribosomal RNA". It matches the Rfam family "Archaeal small subunit ribosomal RNA", at positions 474 to 727 of the family's 1478-position model. The record is from RNAcentral.
CACCGGCGGCUCGAGUGGUGGCCACUUUUAUUGGGUCUAAAGCGUCCGUAGCCGGCUUGGCAAGUCCCCUGGGAAAUCUGGCGGCUUAACCGUCAGGCGUCCAGAGGAUACUGCCAGGCUUGGGACCGGGAGAGGUGAGAGGUACCUCAGGGGUAGGGGUGAAAUCUUGUGAUCCCUGAGGGACCACCAGUGGCGAAGGCGUCUCACUAGAACGGGUCCGACGGUCAGGGACGAAAGCUGGGGCACGAACCGG